This is a long non-coding RNA of Pipistrellus kuhlii (Kuhl's pipistrelle), 1993 nucleotides long. RefSeq lists it as uncharacterized. The record is from RefSeq and is a predicted model, not a curated record. Lineage: Eukaryota; Metazoa; Chordata; Mammalia; Chiroptera; Vespertilionidae. The transcript is spliced from 3 exons.
CUCCGAAACAUGCAGCUGCUGGAAGAAGGAAUCUCUGGGGAGACCUGGUGAGCCUUGGGGGGAGGUCAGGGAGGUCUUCCUUGAGGAGGUAGCAUGCGGUGAGGUCCGGAGGAGGACUGAAAGGAACAGGCUAAGCUUGCACAUGGGGUAACAAGGGAGUUCUGGGAGUCGACAGCCCCAGAAGUGACCUUUGGACAGCGAGGACCCAGGUAUAUUGGGUGAAGUCCUGGCUUCAUCACUCCUGAGUGAGGCAGUUCUGGGGUGUGUUCUACAAUCUCUCAAAGACCCCUAGAAGGAUCACCCCUCGACUGAUCAGAGCAGGAACCUGCUCAUUCACAUGUUUCUUUCUCCAAUGCUCACCAGGUCUCGGGAGAACCCAAACUAAGACACAGGAUUCCAGAGUUUCUUCCAUCUGGGAAAGAAUCCCCCCUUCUUCAUACUACAUGCCCCUCUAGCCACACCCCCUUGCUUUUCUCCAUGGAACCCCAACACUCCUCAAAACAUUGCCUGACCUUGCUCCCUCUCCCCCACCCUCUCAAAUCAAUGAAAAAUAUCCUCAGAUGAGGAUUAAAACAGCAGCAGCAACAACACCAGCAUUGUCUGUCUCCUUGCCUGUCAAGAGCAACCAAGACCUUCUAUUGUUAACCCAAGGCUACUGUACAGACAGCAUGCACCGAUAUAAUUGUUCCAUUGCUAAAAUCCGGGGAUAUUUGGCACCAUCUAGAAAAUACCCUUAUAUUCCUCCCAAAGGGCAGUAGAAUUAAUGUAAAUGCAACAUUUCCAGCUAAUUGUUAUUGAACGUUGCAAUGAAUUUUGAUACACUGGUGACAUCUGAGAAACAUUUGCAAAACUUGGCCAAUUUGACCUUUGUCACUGUGAGCAGGGUGUACGUGUAUGAAUCGCUCUGGCUUAUAGGAGACAUACCAGCUUAUCAUUGCCCUCAAAUUUCCAGCCUGGUUCUAGUUUCAAAUAGCUAAGAUUUACUUUGGUUUUUAUUCUUGGUGCAUUGUAAUUUUUUGUGUAAGUAGCAAAUGUGCAAUGGUCUCAUAAUUAUAAACUAGAAAGCACAGGAUAAAACAUUGAAAGAAAGCAUCCAGAAAGUCUUACUCAUGCUUUGUAAUAUUCCUAUUACAGUAUCAGGAAUAACAUUCUGAUGUACCUGUGGGAGGAGAGAGAAGAAAUGAUGUUUACAGUGAGUUGCAGCCCUGGAAUCUCCAAAACCUGCAGAAGCCAGAGCAGCCUGGAGCGGUUUUGCUACUGUGCAAGACUCUCUGUAAAAUAUAACAAUUAAUUUAUAUUUGGAGCAUAAAAAAAGAAACCCCCCCCAAAAUAUGGGUAGUUUAUGGUAACAGGAUAUAAACAUUGGAUGCAAAUGCUGUUCGUUAAAAUUGGAAAGGCUGAUGCUUAAAUAUUUCACCUGAACAGCAACCAUGCUUUAUUUUAGCUCCAAUAAAGAAAAGUUGUAAUAGUUAAGGAGAAAGGAUAAGGAUGUUGUUAUUCAGUACCACACUAAAAAGUUUUUGGAUAACAAAAAAAAUUUCCAGAAAAAAUUGUUUUAUGUCAAAGAAUAUUUGUAAAGCAGAUAAAAAGCGUUUAGAAAGUAAUGCAAGACUUUUAAAACACUACAACGUAUGGCUAAAAGCAAUUGAGACUUUUCAGAUAGGAAAUCAUAGAACUGGAAAAAACGUAAUAUUGAUAUGGGCAGGACAUUACUAUGCAGACUCACAGAUCUGCCUGAUGCAAAACUGACGACACCGUUCUGCGGAAAACUGCCCAAGUCAGCAAAAUUUCAAACGUGAUCAACGAAGCUUCAACACUGUCGCUGAAAUUGUUUCUGUGAUUUAUUUUAAAGGUGAAAUUCAAGGCUUUGACGGUAGUUUAAGGUUUGCUGUUAAUCAUACAAGGCUGUGCCGAAACCGGUUUGGCUCAGUGGAUAGAGCGUCGGUCUGGGGACUAAAAGGUCCAGGGUUCAAUUCCGGUCAAGGGCAUGUAC